Molecule: ribosomal RNA, 252 nt
Filed under: uncultured bacterium
Lineage: Bacteria
Description: partial 16S ribosomal RNA
Rfam family: Bacterial small subunit ribosomal RNA
Source: RNAcentral
UACGUAGGAUGCGAGCGUUAUCCGGAUUUAUUGGGUUUAAAGGGUGCGCAGGCGGCACGGCAAGCCGGCGGUCAAAUCGCGGGGCUCAACCCCGCCCAGCCGUCGGAACUGCCGGGCUAGAGUGGGCGAGAAGUGCGCGAAAUGCGUGGUGUAGCGGUGAAAUGCAUAGAUAUCACGCAGAACUCCGAUUGCGAAGGCAGCGCACCGGCGCCCUACUGACGCUCAGGCACGAAAGCGUGGGUAUCGAACAGG